UUCCGGUUGAUCCUGCCGGACCUGACUGCUAUCGGAUUGAUACUAAGCCAUGCGAGUCUUUGCAGUAAUGCAAGGCAUACGGCUCAGUAACACGUAGUCAACUUACCCUAUGGACGAGGAUAAUCUCGGGAAACUGAGCAUAAUUCUUGAUAGAUCAUAAUGCCUGGAAUGGUUUAUGGUUAAAAUGAUUCGUCGCCAUAGGAUGGGACUGCGGCCUAUCAGCUUGUUGGUGAGGUAAUGGCCCACCAAGGCGAUUACAGGUACGGGCUCUGAGAGGAGAAGCCCGGAGAUGGGUACUGAGACAAGGACCCAGGCCCUAUGGGGCGCAGCAGGCGAGAAAACUUUGCAAUGUGCGAAAGCACGACAAGGUUAGUCCGAGUGAUUUCUGCUAAAGAGAUCUUUUGCUAGUUAUAAAACCACUAGUGAAUAAGGGGUGGGCAAGUUCUGGUGUCAGCCGCCGCGGUAAAACCAGCACCUCAAGUGGUCAGGAUGAUUAUUGGGCCUAAAGCAUCCGUAGCCGGCUCUGUAGGUCUUAUGUUAAAAUCAAUUGCUUAACAAUUGAACUGCAUGAGAUACCACAAAACUAGGAGGCGGGAGAGGUGGACGGUAUUCCACGGGUAGGGGUAAAAUCCUCUGAACCGUGGAGGACCACCAGUGGCGAAGGCGGUCCACCAGAACGCGCUCGACGGUGAGGGAUGAAAGCUGGGGUAGCGAACCGGAUUAGAUACCCGGGUAGUCCCAGCUGUAAACGAUGCAAGCUAGGUGAUGCAUUAGCCACGUGUUAAUGCAGUGCCGCAGGGAAGCCGUUAAGCUUGCCGCCUGGGGAGUACGGUCGCAAGGCUGAAACUUAAAGGAAUUGGCGGGGGAGCACCACAAGGGGUGAAGCCUGCGGUUCAAUUGGAGUCAACGCCGG
RNAcentral lists this ribosomal RNA (913 nucleotides) under uncultured marine archaeon. RNAcentral's name for it is "bacterial SSU rRNA". It matches the Rfam family "Archaeal small subunit ribosomal RNA", at positions 1 to 921 of the family's 1478-position model. The record is from RNAcentral.